CUCCGGCCCGGCCCGGCCCGGCUGCGUGUGCGUCCCGAGAAGCAGGCCAGCGCGGCGCGGCGGAACUCAGAGCUGCCCUCAAAUUCACCUUUCUGAACCCAUUUAAGGAGAUUGGUGAGUACCUCAAUAUUUCUUCUAAUCCUUUUAACAAGUACUGGUCAUGGC
RNAcentral lists this long non-coding RNA (165 nucleotides) under Gopherus agassizii (Agassiz's desert tortoise). RNAcentral's name for it is "lncRNA (ENSGAGG00000019550.1)". The record is from RNAcentral. Lineage: Eukaryota; Metazoa; Chordata; Testudines; Testudinidae.